GCCUGGGUGACUCAGUAGGUCAAGCAACUGACUUCAGCUCAGGUUAUGAUCUUGCUGUUUGUGGGUUCAAGCCCCACAUCAGGCU
This 85-nucleotide transfer RNA is filed under the name Felis catus (domestic cat). It matches the Rfam family "tRNA". Rfam says of the family: Transfer RNA (tRNA) molecules are approximately 80 nucleotides in length. The record is from Rfam by way of RNAcentral. Lineage: Eukaryota; Metazoa; Chordata; Mammalia; Carnivora; Felidae.